This is a long non-coding RNA of Bubalus bubalis (water buffalo), 358 nucleotides long. RefSeq lists it as uncharacterized. NCBI's taxonomy places the organism in Eukaryota, Metazoa, Chordata, Mammalia, Artiodactyla, Bovidae. The record is from RefSeq and is a predicted model, not a curated record. The transcript has 3 exons.
UGGGACUGCUGUCUGCUGCCACCGAAAUGCGUCUCACAGCAACUCUGUCCACAGGUUACUGUUACCCUCUAGUGCCCCUGUGCCCGCCGUCGGAGUCUGUCAACACCACAGAAAAAGAGCUUUAUUUGUGAAAGACCUCCUAACACUUGAUGAUCAUGGAAUUAUUCUCAGAUUCUCCAUCAACUGAAAAGGGUUAAGACAGAAAUGAAAAUUCAUCUUGAAGGGUGCUAGACAGCAUGGGGAUGAAAGGUUCCUUGAAAGUGUGAAAGGGACAGAGACUGCUUCAUAGAUCCAGAACCACAGACUGACAAAGACCGGGGCAAAGUGAGCUGAAAAUGCAGUCCCAGCAGCAAUCAAC